This 664-nucleotide ribosomal RNA is filed under the name Lactobacillus acidophilus. RNAcentral describes it as "bacterial LSU rRNA". It matches the Rfam family "Bacterial large subunit ribosomal RNA", at positions 762 to 1429 of the family's 2925-position model. Lineage: Bacteria; Bacillati; Bacillota; Bacilli; Lactobacillales; Lactobacillaceae. The record is from RNAcentral.
CGCACUGGAGGGCCGAACCCACGUAAGUUAAAAAUUGCGGGGAUGAGCUGUGGGUAGCGGUGAAAUUCCAAACGAACUUGGAGAUAGCUGGUUCUCUCCGAAAUAGCUUUAGGGCUAGCCUCGUGGAGAGGAUAAUGGAGGUAGAGCUCUGUUUGGACUAGGGGCCCGUCAGGGGUUACUGAAUCCAGAUAAACUGCGAAUUCCAUAUAUCCAUACACGGGAGUCAGACUGCGAGUGAUAAGAUCCGUAGUCGAAAGGGAAACAGCCCAGAUCACCAGUUAAGGUCCCCAAAUCUAUGCUAAGUGGAAAAGGAUGUGGAGUUGCGUAGACAACUAGGACGUUGGCUCAGAAGCAGCCAUCAUUCAAAGAGUGCGUAAUAGCUCACUAGUCGAGUGGCGCUGCGCCGAAAAUUUACCGGGGCUAAGCAUAGUACCGAAACUGUGGAUGCAUCGAAAGAUGCGUGGUAGGAGAGCGUUCUAAGUGCGGCGAAGGUUAACCGAGAGGAUAAUUGGAGCGCUUAGAAGUGAGAAUGCCGGUAUGAGUAGCGAAAGACAGGUGAGAAUCCUGUCCGCCGAAAGACUAAGGUUUCCUGGGGCAGGCUCGUCCGCCCAGGGUAAGUCGGGACCUAAGGCAAGGCCGAGAGGCGUAGUCGAUGGAUAACAGG